CAGUUUUUCAUCUUUACAGGGCAUGCAGACCUUUGCUACAGGGCCAGAAAAAGAACAGUGGAGGAAGUGUGGCUGUAAAGUAACAGAUGGCGUGUGGAUGAGUGAGGAUGGCAGACCUUGUUUACCCAAACAUUUCUUUUCACAUUAUUGUCGUUUGACACACGGGUUAGACCAUGUGUCAAAAGGGGGAAUGAUGAUGCAAAUGAAAGAGUUGUGGUUUACAAAAGGGUUUACAAUUUUUGCGGAAAACUUUUGCAAAAGAUGCGUUAUUUGCAAUACCUAUAAUGUUGCGCGAGGCGCAAAAAUGCCUCUGGUGUCCCAACCGCCACCGGCGGGACCCUUUGAAUAUUUGCAAAUGGACUUUGUCGAGCUAAAUCCAUGUGAAGGCAAAAGGUACUGUUUGGUGAUGGUGGACAUGUGGUCCAAAUGGACUGAGGUCUUCCCAUCAUCAAAACAGGAUGCAACAGCGGUAGCAAAAGCGCUACUGACUGAAAUAGUCCCGAGAUGGGGAAUUCCAUGGAAAAUUAGCUCUGACAACGGAAGACAUUUUGUGAAUGAGGCAAUAACACAAGUAGGCGAAUUUCUGGGUAUUGACAUAAGAACACACUGCGCCUACGCACCACGCAGCGGGGGUGGCGUGGAACGCCACAACCAAACCCUGAAGAACAAAUUGGCAAAAUGUUGUGAGGAAACUGGACUCACAUGGGUGAAAGCACUGCCGAUUGUUCUCAUGUAUAUGAGAAUGAGAAAGCGAGUGAGAUCAAAUUUGAGCCCGUACGAAAUUUUGUUCGGUAGACCACCACAUGUGGGGUUAGAAGGGGGAAAACAACCCUGCCAUCCACAGAGCUGUGUGAGCACGACAUGCUGAGUUACUGCAAAGAAAUGUCUUCUCUGUUGUCCAAUAUUUGUGUGCAGGUGAAAGCAGCACAACAAAAGGUUGCAGAGAAACCCCUACACGCCUUUAAACCAGGGGACUUCGUGGUGAUACGUGACUUCAGGCGAAAGAGCUGGAGGGCAAAAAGGUGGCGGGGACCGUUCCAGGUGCUUCUGACCACGCAUACAGCUGUAAAAGUGGCAGAAAGGGCGACGUGGGUGCACGCCAGCCACUGCAGGAGAGUUCCAUCAACAACCCAGGAGGGGGAGCGGGAGCGAGCACAAGAUAACAGCCAGCAGUAGCCAGGAGAGAGCGUAAACACCAGACACAUCAGUGUGGAAGCAAGCAACAGAGAAAAGGAGGGGAGCUAAUCUAACUUGUGAAUUGCAAAGGCUUCCAUGUGCAAAAUCUGGGGGAGUAUGCAAAAUGUUGGGUACAUCAUGUUGUUUCCAUAUUCCAGAUUACAGUGACAACGUCACCAACAUAAUAGCACACAUGAGAAUGGCCGUAAAAGAGCCUGAAAAGGGCCAUGCAAAUGGAAUGGUGGACAACCCUCUGGGGAGGUUGGGGUUAUUGGAUUUGUACUACUGUAUUGCCAAUGAUUGGUGCAGGCCUUUUGCUGCUACUGUGUUUACCGUGCAUUUUGCAGUUCAUUUCCAGCUCAGUACAGAGACUGGUGACCUCUAGCGUCUCACCGAAGAUGGUGAAGCUACAUGUCGGCAAUGAAAAUGUGGUGAUAGGGUUUGACUUAGAGAAAACAAUUGAUGAUGAUGAUAGCAGCAGCGGAGCCUACAGUGAAAUUUAAUUAAGGAAAACAAAAGAAUAAGACAAAUGACGAAACUUCACGAGGGGAAGGGUUUGCCUGUCUUUAUGUCUAUGACUAUACUGUAUGCUUUGCUAACAAAAGGGGGAUCCCAAACAAAAAGCCUUAGCAUAUUCGACUUUUUUUUUCAAAAACUUAAGAGAAUGAUCAUUUAUGCGAAAGUCAGAAAUGAAGAGUAUAAAUGUGAUGCAAUAACUUGAGUUUUCCUAUAUUUUGGUAUUAUGAGUUACAAGAGUAAUAGCAAGUAAACAAGAUACAUAAUCAUAGAAGUGCGUAAUCAGUAGUGAUGAUAGUUUUGAGUUGUAUAAGUAACAUUUCUGUUUGGUGUCUGUGAGGUGACUGAGGGUCUGACACAUGUCAGGAAUGCAAUAACAGUGCUUAUUCGUUUAGCCCGGCUUCCAGAAAACAAAUGUGAAGAUGUGUUUGAUUUUAUGAUUUGCAUGUUAGUAGACAAUUGAGAAUGUGUAACAUGGUAAUGAAUUUUUGAUGACUAGUGAUCAAUGAAUGAUAAAAAGGGGGAAAUUGUUGGGGAAAAUUCAUUUAUGGGUGAUUUUUGCAUGCUUACGUGACAAACUUGUGUGUAAGGUGUGGGGAAAACAGCAGGUGGUAAAGUGCUGAUCAGACUCCUGGGUAAAAAAGGGCCUCUGUGCCUUAUAGGGAACAACUGGGAACUGGGGACCCCACGUCCGCCAUGAAGCUGACCCCAGGGGUCAGAGAAAGCAUAAAUAUGUAUAGGGAAUGCUGAGAAGGGAUGAUCUAUAGAGUUGUUUUUGCAGGUUUUCUUUCCUUAUAUGACAGCACGGGCUGUUUUUAGUAUGUAACCAGAGAUAUAAAGCGGAGACGAUAACUCCCUCCUUUGUCACACUCGGCAGGGCGCUGUAUCUGUUUGACUGUGAACCUUUCUUGCAAGAAAUAAACCUUUAAAACGCA
This is a long non-coding RNA of Labeo rohita (rohu), 2627 nucleotides long. RefSeq lists it as uncharacterized. NCBI's taxonomy places the organism in Eukaryota, Metazoa, Chordata, Actinopteri, Cypriniformes, Cyprinidae. The record is from RefSeq and is a predicted model, not a curated record. The transcript has 2 exons.